GCAGAGUAGGCCGCUGCGCGUGAAGUGCCGCUGAAACGGGGAGUUGUUCGGCGGACGAAAGGAAAUCUUUCCUGCGGUGCAGCAGUCGCAUCCCGCUGC
This 99-nucleotide non-coding RNA is filed under the name uncultured Butyricicoccus sp. RNAcentral's name for it is "THF riboswitch". It matches the Rfam family "THF (Tetrahydrofolate) riboswitch aptamer". From Rfam's summary of the family: THF riboswitch presents a pseudoknot that joins P1-P2 and the loop of P3 and two THF binding. The record is from RNAcentral. Lineage: Bacteria; Bacillati; Bacillota; Clostridia; Eubacteriales; Butyricicoccaceae.